UUUAAGUGCAACCAUGAGUUUCCGUGCCCAACUUUGAUUAUCCAUCUUAUUUGAAAAUUUUUUAUAAAUAAUAUUUUUGUUGUUAUGAGAUGAUAAAAUAUGAACAAUACUUUACUCGUGAUUUAUGUUUUUAUUUUUUUAAAAUAAAAUGGAUGAUUAAAAUUGAGCGCAUAAAACUAUGGCUGCAAUUAAA
Molecule: non-coding RNA, 193 nt
Organism: Oryza glumipatula
Lineage: Eukaryota; Viridiplantae; Streptophyta; Magnoliopsida; Poales; Poaceae
Source: Rfam